UAGAUUAGGUAAGAUUAGGAAGGGUUAAAGUUAGGAUUAGUGGGUAAAAUUAGAUGAGAUUAGGAAGGGUUAAGGUUAGGAUUAGGGGGUUAGAUUAGGUUAGAUUAGGAAAGCAUUAAGGUUAGGGUUAGGGGGUUAGAUUAGGUAAGAUUAGGAAGGGUUAAGGUUAGGAUUAGGGGGUAAAAUUAGAUGAGAUUAGGAAGGGUUAAGGUUAGGAUUAGGGGGUUAGAUUAGGUUAAAUAAGGAAAGAUUUAAGGUUAGGGUUAGGGGGUAAGAUUAGGUUAGAUUAGGAAAGAUUUAAGGUUAGGUUUAGUGUCUAGAAUCU
Long non-coding RNA from Oncorhynchus tshawytscha (Chinook salmon), 325 nucleotides. The record is from Ensembl. Lineage: Eukaryota; Metazoa; Chordata; Actinopteri; Salmoniformes; Salmonidae.